Molecule: antisense RNA, 75 nt
Filed under: Streptomyces longwoodensis
Lineage: Bacteria; Bacillati; Actinomycetota; Actinomycetes; Kitasatosporales; Streptomycetaceae
Description: ASpks TB sRNA
Rfam family: ASpks TB sRNA
Source: Rfam by way of RNAcentral
CUUGACGGAGCCGAGCCACAACGGCCGCUCCUGCGGGCGGCGUUCGCCGUAGGUGGCCAGGAGGGCGUGGGCCUC